GCGGGUGUGGUGUACGGUACACAGCUGUCUUUCAUUCGCGCAUCUCCAAUUCAAGCAGCAAACCCGGGUUCGACUCCCGGCGCGCGCA
This is a non-coding RNA of Mycena latifolia, 88 nucleotides long. The record is from the annotation of a GenBank genome assembly. Lineage: Eukaryota; Fungi; Basidiomycota; Agaricomycetes; Agaricales; Mycenaceae.